AAAUAUUUGCAUUCACCCUGAUAAUUACAGCGCAAUUUUCAAAAUGGGGCAGAGGAAAUACAGACCAAGAAGAAACAGAUAGAGUCAGCAUUUAACCUACAUGCAGACAACACUCCAGCAUAUCAGAAGGUUCAUGAAUACACAAAGUUAACCAUUCAGAACCUUCAGUCUGCUGUUUACUACAGAUUUAAAGACACUGCUCAGGGGUUCCAUGGACAGGAAGGUGAAAUUCAUGAUGCUAGCUUGAAUAACUUCCUCUCGAAGUGCCGCUGGCUGAGC
Molecule: non-coding RNA, 279 nt
Organism: Maylandia zebra (zebra mbuna)
Lineage: Eukaryota; Metazoa; Chordata; Actinopteri; Cichliformes; Cichlidae
Source: RefSeq, a predicted model, not a curated record